UAAGGAAUAUUGCUCAAUGGGAGACAUCCUGAAUCAGCAACGCCGCGUGGAGGAUGAAGGGCUUUCAGCUUGUAAACUCCUGUAAAGAAGGAAAAAAUUCCCAUUAGAUGGGAAAUGAUGGUACUUCUAAAGUAAGCCCCGGCUAACUACGUGCCAGCAGCCGCGGUAAUACGUAGGGGGCAAGCGUUGUCCGGAUUUACUGGGUGUAAAGGGUGCUCAGGCGGAUUUGUAAGUCAGAGGUGAAAUCUCACAGCUUAACUGUGAAACUGCCUUUGAUACUGCAAGUCUAGAGUAUGGAAGAGAGUGAUGGAAUGUCUUGUGUAGCAGUGAAAUGCGUAGAUAUCAGAUAGAACACCAAUGGCGAAGGCAGUCACUUGGGCUAUUACUGACGCUAAAGCACGAAAGCGUGGGUAGCAAACA
Molecule: ribosomal RNA, 420 nt
Filed under: uncultured prokaryote
Description: bacterial SSU rRNA
Rfam family: Bacterial small subunit ribosomal RNA
Source: RNAcentral